AACGAACGCUGGCGGCGUGGAUAAGACAUGCAAGUCGAGCGGGUAACUUUUUUGGUAGCAAUAACCGAAAAAGUUCUAGCGGCGAACGGGUGCGUAACACGUGGACAAUCUGACCUUAAAGGUGGGGGAUAGCUCGGACGAAAGCCGAAUUAAUACCGCAUGUGAUGAGAGACGACAUCGUCUUAGAAAUCAAAGGCCGGGCAACCUGGCGUCUUUUUGAGGAGUCCGCCGGCCUAUCAGCUUGUUGGUGAGGUAACGGCUCACCAAGGCUAUGACGGGUAGCUGGUCUGAGAGGACGACCAGUCACAC
Molecule: ribosomal RNA, 309 nt
Filed under: uncultured bacterium
Lineage: Bacteria
Description: bacterial SSU rRNA
Rfam family: Bacterial small subunit ribosomal RNA
Source: RNAcentral